This is a non-coding RNA of Callorhinus ursinus (northern fur seal), 409 nucleotides long. NCBI's taxonomy places the organism in Eukaryota, Metazoa, Chordata, Mammalia, Carnivora, Otariidae. The record is from RefSeq and is a predicted model, not a curated record.
GAGGAGGGGUAGCUUGGGGAAGAAAAUGGGCUUGUUCUUGAUGUCAGUCUCAGAUGUUUCCCCCACAGUAAAAUGUUAUCUUCCCUGUUCCUAUCUCAGAGUAUGUUGAUUGAAACUCUGUCCCCGCACGUAGCUCAUUCUGCCCAGGAGCUAGUAGCUCUAAUCCUGCUAGAUUAAGAGGACUUUGAAAGCAAAGACUGUCAUGUGUUCAUAUAUGUAGUACCUGUAAAGCAUAUACUUAAUAUAUGCCCAUUAAAAUGAAUCUGAACUGUAUUAACAUCCUUAAACUUUUCAAGUUGAUAUUAAGAGGAAAACUCUUUUCUGAUGAAGAUAUCCGUAGUUCACUUCUCUGGUAAGUGGAGUUUCUCAUUCUUCUGUUUCCACCCAAACAGCUAUGGUUUAAGGCAAA